UCUACCUGCUGACUUCCCAAGCACAGAUCAGAGAGAGGCAGACAGAUAAAAGACCAUUGCCAUGCAGGGGAGUUUUGAAUAGGCCAAGCUAAAAUGCCCAAAUUAAAAAGUAACCAGGACAUCAAUCAACCUUGAUCUUCAGAGGGACUGUCUCUUAAGAUUCACUCCAACAGGUCCAUGUCCUUCCUGUGCUGAGGAUUCCAGAGCUGGACUCAAUACUCUAUGUGGGGAUGUCUCUAGAGUGGAAUAGAGGGGCAGAGCUGACCUCUUGGCCACACUGCUUUUGAUGCAGUAGCUGUGAUAGCCCUGAUGAGCUGAAGACAUGAGGAAGUGACACCCGGUGGUGACGAAGCAGCAGUUUAUCUCUGAUCCUGGUCCCUCAGAAAGCCAGAGUUCUGCCGUGACUGUUCUGCUGUCUGCAAUCAAGAGCAGGAGGAAAUACAGAGCUGAAAGGUUGUUUUUCCUGAUAAUGAGUACCAUUCCUUAUAGAACAUGAGGCUCUGUCCCUACAAGCAAGUCCUACAGACUGGAACACCAUCCCUCAGUUAGAAGUAUCUAGAUGCCUCCUUGGCAUUAUGAAGGAAUCUACUGACUUGGAGUAAAACGCAGCUCUUGUCCUGAAAGGACUUGAUGGGAAUACCUCAUUUCCUAAGCCUACCUCUACUAAAUGAUUGGUGCUUUGAGUAUAGAAAUUAAUCAGAAAAUAAACUCCCCUGUUUUCCAGAUAGUCCUCAGAGAGGCUGGAUGGGGCUAGGUUUAAUUUCUGAUUAUAACCAAUUCAGCACUGUAAGUCUGGCUGUGGUCAGAAAGCUCUCAGAUGCACAAUGUAGGUUACACUCUAAGUCUGGUCUCAUUCAUGACCACACAUUAACAAAUAGUGCAGUUUACUGGAGCAACAGGCAAUCUAACAGAUUACUGUUGGAUUGCCAGUGGUAAAUUCACCAGACCUACAUAAUCUGAGAGUACAGCACUAUGCACAAGUGUUUCCAGGCAUGCUCUGGUGCAGGUGGAAAUCUUACUGGAGAUGUUCCUGCUUUAGGGAGGAGAUUGGAGCAAGCCCAUCAUCUUGUCUGCAUGGUGGUCACAUUCUUAUCCUCUGCCAUGGAAGAUUUCAAAUACUUUCUGCAGAAGUGAAAGUGAGAUUGUAGUCAAGUAUCCUGUCACUGUCAUCAUGAACAGUGGGGUGGUGCAGCCACUUUUAUAUGUAAGAGAGGGAUAUGCAGAGAGUUACAGAAACUACAGAGACUCUGGGUCAUGCCCAGGGUAGAACAUGUAGUGUCACUCCCAUCUGGCCAGCUGCAGAGCUAAGGUAAGAUUAAUGAGAAGCCCUGCCCAUCACCAGGCCAUCAUGCUCACUGUAAUCCCUCCAGCACCCAUCUCAUGGCACACCUCAGGAAAUCCCUUUACCCACAUGCCACAGUCUAUCCCAUGGCUGCAGGCCUCAUUCCUCCAACUACUCAUUGUAGCUUAGCUUUGGUUUUGUUUUGCUCUGUUUUAAGAACCAUUGGAAAAGCCAUACAGUAAUUUUUCUUUAAAGGACCAAGAUGAAUUAAGACCAGAACUUGUUAAAUCUAAGGGAAGAGCAAACUCUGUGACAGGAGCUUUUCAUAGCAAAAUAACUAAGAACUCAAGGAACAUCCCUAUGCCCCAUUACUCUGAAGCAGAUUAAGAGAAGUCCUGUCAGUCAUUUACAACACAUAACCUUGCAAAUGCUUGUUGUAAUUCACAACCUACAAGAAGAAGAGGCCUAUUUAAUUUUUCAACAGGAGCAUGGGCAAGAAUCUGCCUAGAAGUGAAAUUCCAAGGAGUUAAAAUAGACCUACCCUCUCUCACAGAACAUUUCUAUAAGAGACAGACAAGAUUGCUCCCAUCCAGCAGGCAGUCAUCAGGGAACUCAUCUACAAUGUUUAAAAUUGCCUGCUCUGCAUCCCUUUUGAAUCUGCAUUUCCCAUGUCUCAGUCACUACUCUACUACCUGGCUACACAAUGGCAUACAGUACUUUAAAGUGGGUUCUUUUCAAUUUCAGGUGGUAAGGCCGAUGGGGGAGAAAAAGGACAAUAGUAAUUUGAGGAAAGAAGGAUAGAAUUAAAGUUAAAAUUAAUCUGCAACAGCUAUCAGAUCCUAAACAAAUAACACACAUACAAAAGCAUGAUACAAUCCAAAAACAGUAUUUAAUUAAAAAAAAACAAGUAGAAAAUGCCUCUGGAAGUGGACAUCAAGUUGCCAACAUUGUUUUUGCUACACAAUUUUAAAAGGGUUUCAAGUAUUGUUUUGCAAGCACCUAUAAUAAUUUCAUAUUCUGUCUUCCACUUAUCUUAAAAAGAAUGCUGCAAGUUGAAAUGUCAGCAAAAAUGUUUUGCAGUUUUGUAAAAGUCUGUCUUACAAAAUUCAGAGUCAAGAGUUAUAAAUUUC
This is a long non-coding RNA of Passer montanus (Eurasian tree sparrow), 2412 nucleotides long. RefSeq lists it as uncharacterized. The transcript is spliced from 4 exons. NCBI's taxonomy places the organism in Eukaryota, Metazoa, Chordata, Aves, Passeriformes, Passeridae. The record is from RefSeq and is a predicted model, not a curated record.